Long non-coding RNA from Microplitis mediator, 1079 nucleotides. RefSeq lists it as uncharacterized. The transcript is spliced from 3 exons. NCBI's taxonomy places the organism in Eukaryota, Metazoa, Arthropoda, Insecta, Hymenoptera, Braconidae. The record is from RefSeq and is a predicted model, not a curated record.
CAACAGUCACACAAGAACACAAGCUGAAAGUUGUCGACAACUUGUCGUCACGUUGGUCGCAACUCAUGUACACCAACUUUCUGAUUAGAAACUCUAGCUAUCAGAUUGCAAAUCAUUUUGAACCACUUCUUUGAGUAAGGGCUGGCUCGCAGGGUCAACCGUUUUCCAGAUUUUUUCUUUUUGUAAUUGAUUUGUUGGAAUAAAAAAACCGAAAAUUGUUAAUUCUCAAACUAACUUCGGAUCAUUAAAUGGUCACUUGUAAAUUUGAUAAAAUAUUUUAAUUUUUUAAUUUUAUACUAAUCAAUUAUUUUUGUAUUCAAUGUGAAAAUUUUUUUUUUUUUUGUAGGCUCUUGUAUCAUUAGUACUAUUGAUAUAUUAUGCUAUUAUAUUAUACCCUAUUGUCAAAAAAUUAAAAAAUAUCAAACCAUAUUUAAUUUGAAUUUUGAAUAGUUAAGAAAAUCUGGUUAUAAAUUGUUUUGCGGAAUAUCUAAAUAGAGUAAAAAACGAAUAUUUAUUCCAAUUUUUUACUUAAAUUUUAAAUCUUAUUUUGAUCUACAUAUCAAGUUCAGUCCAGAAUUACUUUAAGAUUGUAUUUUUUUUUAUUUUUUAAAAAUGAAAAAUAUGAAAAUAAACAUUAAUCGUUGUAUUGAGGACUACUGUAAGUUAUGGAGGUUCUUCGAUUUUAUAGCGAAAGUACCUGAACACAAGAUCAAUUAUACUUCGAUCAUUCGAUAUGUGGGAUUGAUUUACAAUUGAAUGAUGUAGUAGUAGUUGGUGGGAAUAUAAUGAGUGGGCAGUCAGGAAUUAGCUUAUGCGAUUUCAUUAUAUAAGAGAUGAAAAUGAAAUAAAACGUCCGUGUCUUAAUUUUUCUAUCUAUUUUCCACUGUAUUGUAACAAUAAUAAAACAUAACAAAAUAAAAAUGUCUAUUGAUAUUUUAGAUUAGUAGUUUUAAGUUAUUUAAAAACAGAAAAAAAAAAAAAAUUUUAUUUUUAUUAAUUUUCAAUGCUUUCUGAAAGAUAAAAAAUUGAUUUUUUUUCGUGUCAUUGUUAUGUUUUAUAAUAUACGUUAAUAUAGAAUA